RNAcentral lists this ribosomal RNA (1663 nucleotides) under Hemitrichia abietina. RNAcentral's name for it is "partial 18S ribosomal RNA". It matches the Rfam family "Eukaryotic small subunit ribosomal RNA", at positions 136 to 1639 of the family's 1831-position model. The record is from RNAcentral. Lineage: Eukaryota; Evosea; Eumycetozoa; Trichiida; Trichiidae.
CCAGCGGAUAACCACGGUAAUUCUGUGGCUAAUACGUGCAACCCGGCCCCGCUCGAUCCGCUGCUUUAGAGGCGGGCGAGGGCCGGCCACCUGGGCUGCCACCAACGGCCCUCCCACUGGGGGGGGCUAAGCGUGAAUGCUCGGGUGGGGUCCUGACCGGUCCAAUAACCUACCGGCUCAGGAGAUGGGUUUCUGACCUAUCAACUUGAAGAUACGGGCCGGACAGGCCUUGGUGAUAACGGGUACAGAGGAUCAGGGUUCGAUCCUGGAGAGGUAGCCUGAGAGAUCGCUACCACUUCUAAGGAAGGCAGCAGGCGCGCAACGUUCCCAAUGGGGGCUCCCCUGAGGACGUGACGGGGCAUAGCAAUACGCCGCCCACAAGGGCGGGGUAAUUGAAAUGGGGGCAUUUUAAAUCCCUCACCGAGUAGCAAUUGGAGGACAAGUCUGGUGCCAGCACCCGCGGUAAUUCCAGCUCCAAUAGCAUCUUAUUAAGUUGUUGCAGUUAAAACGCUCGUAGUCCGAGUCGGUGGCGUGCUGGACGGGCAGUAGCUGGGGGGGUCCGGGCCGGUACCAGUCCCAUUUGAGGGGCUCGGUGGCUGUGCCUCCCCCCCGGUGGCCCCCGCUUGGCGCCCAUCGGCUAGCCCGGGGCAGGCAAUCCCGUCUGGAAGCCGCGGGCGGCGGGGCUUCAGUGCCCCGCUGCUCACCCCGGGCACCUUUCUUUGAAUAAAUUCGAGCGCCCAAGGCAGGCCGAUUACGGCCGCUUAUAUAUACUGAAGGCUGCAGCAAAGGAUAACGGAACAGGGCGUCAGCCCGGUCUCGUUGGUACCGAGCAGCGCAAUGAUUAAUUGGGGGGAUCGGGGUCGGCCGCAUGGCGGGGGUAGGGGUGAAAUCCGUUGAUCCUCGCCAGGCGAACUAAAGCGAAAGCAGCCGACAAGUACCCUUUCUUUGAUCAAGAACGAAAGUCUGGGGAUCGAAGAUGAUCAGAUACCAUCGUAGUCCAGACCCUAAAUGAUGCCGACCAUGGAUGGGUGUCAGUCCAUCCCGACCCGGCCCGGACCUUGUGGGAAACCAUCAAGUGCUUGGGCUCCGGGGGGAGUAUGGUCGCAAGACUGAAACUUAAAGGAAUUGACGGAAGAGCACACAAGGAGUGGAGCCUGCGGCUUAAUUUGACUCAACACGGGGAAACUUACCAGGGCAAGAAAGGCUUAGGAUGGACAGCCAAUCAGGGCUUUCCAGAUCGUUUUAGUGGUGGUGCAUGGUCGUUCUUAGUUCGUGGAGUGAUUUGUCUGGUCUAUUCCGCUAACGAGCGAGAACCCAGCCUUCCGUGGUUAGGGCAAGGACAAUGGGGCUGCCCUCCCGGUGUCUCCCCUCGUCUCGGGCUGGGCAACCGGCCUGGGGUGGGGGGGGGUGCUUGGGCGGCCUUGUUCCGGCGCCAUCGAUCCGGGGGCACCAGCUUCGUUAAGGGGCUGGAGGCGGGUCAAUAACAGGUCAGUGAUGCCCUUAGAUGCUCUGGGCCGCACGCGCGCUACAAUGGGGUGAGUAGCGGGUUCACCUGUGCCGAAGGGCGGCGGGUAAUCCUCGAAAGCCCCCCAUAUCCGGGAUAGGGACGUGUAACUCGCCCCUCCAACAAGGAAUUUCUAGUAGUCAUGGGUCACCAGCCCGU